CACGUAGGGCGCAAGCGUGUCCGGAAUUAUUGGGCGUAAAGAGCUCGUAGGCGGUCUGUUGCGUCCGCUGUGAAAACUCGGGGCUUAACCCCGAGCCUGCAGUGGAUACGGGCAGACUAGAGGGUAGGUAGGGGAGAAUGGAAUUCCCGGUGUAGCGGUGAAAUGCGCAGAUAUCAGGAGGAACACCGAUGGCGAAGGCAGGUCUCUGGGCAUUAACUGACGCUGAGGAGCGGAAAGCAUGGGGAGCAACAGG
Molecule: ribosomal RNA, 253 nt
Filed under: uncultured bacterium
Lineage: Bacteria
Description: partial 16S ribosomal RNA
Rfam family: Bacterial small subunit ribosomal RNA
Source: RNAcentral